UGCAAAUUAACCACUAGAUGGAUGGGAAAUCCUUCUUUUCCCUUUCCUCCCAGCUGAGACCAGGAUACAGGACUUUUCCCUAGGGAGUCUCCCAGUGAAACAAUGGAAAUGAAAGGAAGGAAGGAAAUGCCAGAAAUCUCCUAGGAGGAAGAGGAAUGAGAAGCCACUGGCUCUGCAGCCACUCAGCCCUUUGGCACCUCAGGCCUAUCCUGUACCUAGGCCACUGUGAGCAGUUGGAGGGAUGGCUGCUCAGCUGCUGACUGUAGAGUAUCCGAGCCCAAUACAAUUACGCACUGAGAGAGCUGCGAGUGAUCCCAUCAAAAUCCUGCACCCUGUUGACAUCACUGCAGAUCCUUAAGUCCUCCCGGCUUCCAGACCUGUGUAAGGAGGGCCCCACGGUGAACAGAUGUGGGUUUCCUCUUACAGAAAUCAGUGACGUUCAGGGACGUGACUGUGGACUUCACCCAGGAGGAGUGGCAGUGGCUGGAGCCAGCCCAGAAGGACCUGUACAGGGACGUCAUGCUGGAGAACUACAGGAACCUGGUCUUGCUGGGUAAGGGGGGUGGCUUCAUUGAGUCACUGUUAGCCUAUGGCUUCAGGACCACAAAGAAAUAAGAAAGAAGGUUGACAGAUUUGACUGUGCAGAACAAAAUUAAAAUUACUCUACUUGAAGCUAAAAAUAAAGUUAAUAGAUGGCAUGGGGAGUGAUUUUCU
RNAcentral lists this long non-coding RNA (714 nucleotides) under Castor canadensis (American beaver). RNAcentral describes it as "lncRNA (ENSCCNG00000005868.1)". Lineage: Eukaryota; Metazoa; Chordata; Mammalia; Rodentia; Castoridae. The record is from RNAcentral.